This 500-nucleotide ribosomal RNA is filed under the name uncultured bacterium. Its description in RNAcentral is "partial 16S ribosomal RNA". It matches the Rfam family "Bacterial small subunit ribosomal RNA", at positions 30 to 523 of the family's 1533-position model. The record is from RNAcentral.
AUUGAACGCUGGCGGCAGGCCUAACACAUGCAAGUCGAGCGGAUGAGGGUAGCUUGCUAUCUGAUUCAGCGGCGGACGGGUGAGUAAUGCCUAGGAAUCUGCCUGGUAGUGCGGGACAACGUUUCGAAAGGAACGCUAAUACCGCAUACGUCCUACGGGAGAAAGUGGGGGAUCUUCGGACCUCACGCUAUCAGAUGAGCCUAGGUACGAUUAGCUAGUUGGUGAGGUAAAGGCUCACCAAGGCGACGAUCGUUAACUGGUCUGAGAGGAUGAUCAUGCAAACUGGAACUGAGACACGGGCCAGACUCCUAAGGGAGGAAGCAGUGGGGAAUAUUGGACAAUGGGCGAAAGCCUGAUCCAGCCAUGCCGCGUGUGUGAAGAAGGUCUUCGGAUGGUAAAGCACUUUAAGUUGGGGGGAAGGGCAGUAAGUUAAUACCUUGCUGUUUUGACGUUACCGACAGAAUAAGCACCGGCUAACUACGUGCCAGCCGCCGCCGUAA